Molecule: transfer RNA, 85 nt
Filed under: Felis catus (domestic cat)
Lineage: Eukaryota; Metazoa; Chordata; Mammalia; Carnivora; Felidae
Rfam family: tRNA
About the family: Transfer RNA (tRNA) molecules are approximately 80 nucleotides in length. Their secondary structure includes four short double-helical elements and three loops (D, anti-codon, and T loops). Further hydrogen bonds mediate the characteristic L-shaped molecular structure. tRNAs have two regions of fundamental functional importance: the anti-codon, which is responsible for specific mRNA codon recognition, and the 3' end, to which the tRNAs corresponding amino acid is attached (by aminoacyl-tRNA synthetases). tRNAs cope with the degeneracy of the genetic code in two manners: having more than one tRNA (with a specific anti-codon) for a particular amino acid; and 'wobble' base-pairing, i.e. permitting non-standard base-pairing at the 3rd anti-codon position.
Source: Rfam by way of RNAcentral
ACCUGGGUGGCUUAGCCGGUUGAGCAUCUGACUUUGGCUCAGGUCAUGAUCUCAGGGCUUGUGGGUUUGAGCCCCACGUCGGGCU